This 482-nucleotide ribosomal RNA is filed under the name uncultured Entrophospora. Its description in RNAcentral is "SSU rRNA". It matches the Rfam family "Eukaryotic small subunit ribosomal RNA", at positions 569 to 1049 of the family's 1831-position model. The record is from RNAcentral. Lineage: Eukaryota; Fungi; Glomeromycota; Glomeromycetes; Entrophosporales; Entrophosporaceae.
CGCAGCCGCGGUAAUUCCAGCUCCAAUAGCGUAUAUUAAAGUUGUUGCAGUUAAAAAGCUCGUAGUUGAAUUUCGGGAUUGGCGCAUCGGUCGUGCCUCACGGGGUAUGAACUGGUGCAGUCAAUUUCUCACCUUCCGGAGAACCGCGAUGUCCUUAAUUGGAUGCCGCGGGGAACCAGGACCUUUACUUUGAAAAAUUAGAGUGUUUAAAGCAGGCAUUUUUGCUUGAAUACAUUAGCAUGGAAUAAUAAAAUAGGACGGCAUGGUUCUAUUUUGUUGGUUUCUAGGACCACCGUAAUGAUUAAUAGGGAUAGUUGGGGGCAUUAGUAUUCAAUUGUCAGAGGUGAAAUUCUUGGAUUUAUUGAAGACUAACUACUGCGAAAGCAUUUGCCAAGGAUGUUCUCAUUAAUCAAGAACGAAAGUUAGGGGAUCGAAGACGAUCAGAUACCGUCGUAGUCUUAACCAUAAACUAUAGCCGACUA